CUACGGGCGGCUCCAGUCGAGAAUCUUCCGCAAUGCGCGAAAGCGUGACGGAGCAAUGCCGCGUGGUCGAUGAAGGCCUUAGGGUUGUAAAGACCUGUCACAUGGGACGAAUUUUGACGGUACCAUGAGAGGAAGCCACGGCUAACUACGUGCCAGCAGCCGCGGUAAUACGUAGGUGGCGAGCGUUGUUCGGAUUUAUUGGGCGUAAAGGGUCCGCAGGGGGUUUGCUAAGUCUGAUGUGAACUCCCAAGGCUCAACCUUGGAACUGCAUUGGAAACUGGUGAACUAGAGUAUCGGAGAGGUAAAUGGAAUUCCUGGUGUAGCGGUGGAAUGCGUAGAUAUCAGGAAGAACACCGAGAGCGAAGGCAAUUUACUGGACGAUCACUGACCCUCAGGGACGAAAGCGUGGGGAGCGAACAGGAUUAGAUACCCCGGUAGUC
Molecule: ribosomal RNA, 440 nt
Filed under: uncultured bacterium
Lineage: Bacteria
Description: partial 16S ribosomal RNA
Rfam family: Bacterial small subunit ribosomal RNA
Source: RNAcentral